AUGUCUGUUGUAUGGUUGUCUUUAUGUUUAGUAUGCAUUUGGUUGUUUGUGUACUGUGAUAGAGGGGGUCUAUGUCCCUGUGUAGUAUUGUAUAGUAUUUAUACGUUGUCCAUGUGUUGUGAAUGCUUGGAUUGUGUCCUGCUGCAUGGCAGAAUUGGGUUGGACUGGAUGAGACUCUACUGUAUAUUUAUAAUCUUAUAUUAUCUGUUUAGAACUGGAUUAUCUGAGGCCCCUUCUACACAGCUGUAGUGAAUUAUCUGGCAGUGUGGAGUCAAAAUAAUCCAGUUCAAAGCAGAUAAUAUAAGAUUCUAAAUGGGUUAUAUAGCUGUUUGGAAGGGCCUUGAGUCUACAGUGCCAUAUAAUCCAGUUAAAAUCUGAUAAUCUGUGGAAGAGGCCUAAGUGAGGCCUAACUGUGCCUGUCCCCUGGGCUGAGUAGGUUGCUAGGAGACCAAGUGGGUGGAGCUUAGCCUUCAAACUGGCAGCAAUUGGAUAAAAACAAUUAUUCCUCUCCCUCUAAUUAGGACUUUAUUUUUCUUUUCUUUUUGUUGUAUCAACCUAGAGCCGUGGAUGAUGGGUUGUGUUCUCAAAUUUCAAGGUUGGGGGGCCUGUAUCGUUGUUUUGUCCGCUGCCCUGAUGCCAUCACUCUUUUAUAUAUAUAGAUGUUGCAAUAUAUAUAGAUUACUCAUUAUAUCUUGGUUAUAAUGGAGCCUAAAGGCACCAGAUACUGUCUGAUUCUGGAAGCUAAGCAGGGCCAUCCCUGGUUAGUCCUUGGAUGGGAGACCGCAGGCUCUCCUUCAGAGGAAGGAAAUGGCAAAACCACCUCUGAGAAUUCCUUGAACGCUAUGAAAAUAUCAUUGCAUUGUUUUAAGGAUUUUAAGGCACAUAAAUGGAUGCUGUUCACUUUCUUUGUAGUUUCUUGUUUCCUCUGACGAUGGCCAUUCUUCACAAUGGAACCCAGGUUUUGUGCAUUUUAUACUUAAUUACUUGUAUUGUGUUUGUGUCUUGUACUUAGAAUCAUAGUUGGAAGAGAAAUACAGGGGCCUUCCAGUCCACCCUCCUUCUGCAAUACAAGAAGACACCAUCCAAACCCUCCUGACAGAUGACCACCCAGCCUGAGCUUGAAAAUCUCCAAAGAAAGAGACUCCAACUGGACCCCAAGGCAGCAGAACAUUUAACCGCUUUUUUCGUGUCAGGAGCGAUUUGAGAAACUGCAAGUCACUUCUGGUGUGAGAGAAUUGGUCGUCUGCAAGGACGUUGCCCAGGAGACAUUGCACGGGUGUUUUGAUGUUUUUACCAUUGUUGUGGGAGGCUUCUCUCAUGUCCCUGCAUGGAGCUGGGGCUGAUAGAGGGAGCUCAUCCGUGCUCUUCCUGGGUUGGAUUCGAACCUGGCAGGCUUCAGGUGAGCAACCCAACCUUCAAGUUACAAGGCUUUAACCCACUGAGCCACCGAGGGCUCUUAUCUCUUAUGAAUGGAUAGAAGGAUGAGUCAGAAGGGUCCUCCAGAGGUCAUCUAAUCCAGCCCCCCUUCUGCAAGGCACAAUAAAGCCCUCUGAACAGAUGGCCAUCCUGCCUAGAAUCACCUUGGCUUUUUUAGCUGCUGCAUCACAUUACUGACUCAUGUUCUACUCAUGGUCUCUACGACUUCUUGGUCCCUUUCCAAUGCUUUAAAGCCAGGUUUCCCCAGAUAACCACUUCUACUUGCAGAGACCAUGGACUUAAGAUAGUCAUGCCAUUCAAAAAAGCCAGCAUGAAGUCCUGGUAUUUCUGGAUGAAAAUAUUGCAGCCUCGGCAACAGUGCAAAAGGUCAGACCGGUGAUUCUUUCCCAUUCCCUUCCCUCCCUUGCCUUUUUUAUUUUAUCCCCAUUUUUUGGGGGACGGGGGAGCCCUUUGAUGGGCAGAGAUGAAGAAACAGCCGGUGAUCCUUAUGAUCCCAAUCUGGCUCCUCGGUUACCCAAGGCUUUAAAGAGAAGAUCAAGGCCUCGCUUCUUUCGGAACAAUUAUUAUGCGCACACUCCGUGCUGGAGAUAGAAAAUCAGACAUCCUUUGGAGGUUUCCGUCUAGAGAAAAAUAUUUGAAUGCAGGAAACUCAGGACCCAAGUUGCCAGACAGAAAAUAGGAAAGACCCUGAAUCUCAUAAAUUCGGAGCCCACUUGGAAAUUUGCAAAGAAGACCACAAACAAAGAGUAAACUAGUAAACAACACCUGUUUUGCUUUUUCAUGGUAGACAAGUGGUGCCAAAUUAGCACAAAACUCUGUAAUCUAUAUACAGUAGGGUCUCGCUUAUCCAAGCCUCACUUAUCCAAGCUUCUGGAUUAUCCAAGCCAUUUUUGCAGUCAAUGUUUUCAAUAUAUCGUGAUAUUUUGGUGCUAAAUCCAUAAAUACUGUAAUUACAACUUAACAUUACUGCGUAUUGAACUACUUUUUAUGUCAAAUGUUUUGUAUAACAUGAUGUUUUGGUGCUAAAUUCGUAAAUACAGUAAUUACUACAUAGCAUCAAUGUUUUCAAUAUAUCAUGAUAUUUUGGUGCUACAUCCGUAAAUACUGUAAUUACAACUUAACAUUACUGCGUAUUGAACUACUUUUUCUGUCAAAUGUUUUGUAUAACAUGAUGUUUUGGUGCUUAAUUUGUAAAAUCAUAACCUAAUUUGAUGUGAGCGGCCGCUGUUAGCUCCAGCUCCUGCCAACCUAGCAGUUCGAAAACAUGCAAAUGUGAGUAGAUCAAUAGGUACCGCUCCGGCGGGAAAGUAACAGCGCUCCAUGCAGUCAUGCCGGCCACAUGACCUUGGAGGUGUCUACGGACAACGCCGGCUCUUUGGCUUAGAAAUGGAGAUGAGCACAGACCCCCAGAGUCGGACAUGACUGGACUGAACGUCAAGGGAAAACCUUUACCUUUUUAAAUUUGAUGUUUAAUAGGCUUUUCCUUAGUCCCUCCUUAUUAUCCAAGAUAUUCGCUUAUCCAAGCUUCUGCCGGCCCGUUUAGCUUGGAUAAGUGAGACUCUACUGUACUUCCCUUAGCCUUGCAAGCAUGUUUCCAACAUAGAUUAAGACGGGACCCCAAAGGCCAUCUAGUCCAACCCCUUGUCUGCUGUUAAAACACGAAUAUGUUCUUACAACAAGCUUGGAGACCCAGCAGUGCCCAGAUUAUUAGAAGGCAUUGUUUGUUUUGGAAUGUUAGGUAAUAUCAGUUAAGUUUGGUCCAGAUCUGUCGUUGGCUGGGAUCAGGGCUCUCUGGAUAAGGGUGAACUACAACUCCCAGAUUCCCAGAGCAAUCACCCCAAACCCUGCCAGUAUUCACAGUUGGCGUUGUUGGGUCUGUGUGCCAAGUUUGGUCCAGAUCUGACAUCAGCUGGGUUCAGUGCUUUCUGGAUGCAGGUGAACUAUAACUCCCAAAAUGAAGGUCCAUUCCCACUAACCCCUGCAGUAUGUCUAGUUGGUCAUGGCACUUCUCUGUGCCAAGUCUGAUCCCAGUCCAUUGUGGGUG
Long non-coding RNA from Anolis carolinensis (green anole), 3481 nucleotides. NCBI's taxonomy places the organism in Eukaryota, Metazoa, Chordata, Lepidosauria, Squamata, Anolidae. The record is from Ensembl.